Non-coding RNA from Desmophyllum pertusum, 78 nucleotides. The record is from the annotation of a GenBank genome assembly. NCBI's taxonomy places the organism in Eukaryota, Metazoa, Cnidaria, Anthozoa, Scleractinia, Caryophylliidae.
GGCUUCAGUUGAUAGCUCAAUUGGUUAGAGCACUGCACCAGUAUCGCAGGGUCAUGGGCUUUAGUCCUGUUCAAGCCU